GAGUUUGAUCCUGGCUCAGAAUCAACGCUGGCGGCGUGCCUCAGACAUGCAAGUCGAACGCGAAAGUUUCCUUCGGGGGGCAAGUAGAGUGGCGCACGGGUGAGUAACACGUAGGUAAUCUACCUUCGGAUGGGGAAUAACAACCGGAAACGGUUGCUAAUACCGCGUAAUGCAGCGGCACCUAAUGGUGACAGUUGUUAAAGCGGGGGAUCGAAAGACCUCGCGUCUGAAGAGGAGCCUGCGGCGGAUUAGCUAGUUGGUAAGGUAAUGGCUUACCAAGGCGACGAUCCGUAACCGGCCUGAGAGGGCGGUCGGUCACACUGACACUGACAUACGGGUCAGACUCCUACGGGAGGCAGCAGUCGGGAAUUUUGGGCAAUGGGCGAAAGCCUGACCCAGCAACGCCGCGUGAAGGAUGAAAUCCCUCGGGAUGUAAACUUCGCAAGAACGGGAAGAAUAAGUAGGGGACAAUACCCCCUAUGAUGACGGUACCGUUUGUAAGCUCCGGCUAACUCCGUGCCAGCAGCCGCGGUAAUACGGGGGGAGCAAGCGUUGUUCGGAUUUACUGGGCGUAAAGGGCGCGUAGGCGGCCAGCACAAGUCAGUUGUGAAAUCUCCGAGCUUAACUCGGAAAGGUUAACUGGUACUGUGCGGCUAGAGUGCGGAAGGGGCAACUGGAAUUCUUGGUGUAGCGGUGAAAUGCGUAGAUAUCAAGAGGAACACCUGCGGCGA
This 731-nucleotide ribosomal RNA is filed under the name uncultured bacterium. RNAcentral's name for it is "bacterial SSU rRNA". It matches the Rfam family "Bacterial small subunit ribosomal RNA", at positions 9 to 718 of the family's 1533-position model. The record is from RNAcentral.